Molecule: non-coding RNA, 90 nt
Organism: Tuber borchii (whitish truffle)
Lineage: Eukaryota; Fungi; Ascomycota; Pezizomycetes; Pezizales; Tuberaceae
Source: the annotation of a GenBank genome assembly
GCUCGGUUGGUCUAGUGGUAUGAUUCUCGCUUAGGGUAAUAUCUUAAGUACGCUUGCGAGAGGUCCCCGGUUCAAACCCGGGAUCGAGCC